RNAcentral lists this ribosomal RNA (1166 nucleotides) under uncultured bacterium. RNAcentral describes it as "bacterial SSU rRNA". It matches the Rfam family "Bacterial small subunit ribosomal RNA", at positions 108 to 1304 of the family's 1533-position model. The record is from RNAcentral.
GAGUAAUACGUAAGUAACCUAUCCUUGAGUGGGGAACAACCCCGGGAAACUGGGGCUAAUUCCGCAUAAUACGCUGAGAGUGAUAUUUUAGCGCCAAAGGCGCAAGUCGCUCUGAGAGGGGCCCGCGUCCCAUCAGGUAGUUGGUGAGGUAAUGGCCCACCAAGCCGAUGACGGGUAGCUGUUCUGAGAGGAAGAUCAGCCACAAUGGAACUGAGAUACGGUCCAUACUCCUAUGGGAGGCAGCAGUGAGGAAUAUUGCACAAUGGACGAAAGUCUGAUGCAGCGACGCCGCGUGGGUGACGAAGGCCUUCGGGUCGUAAAACCCUUUUGGCAGGGACGAGUGAGGACGGUACCUGCAGAAUAAGUCUCGGCUAACUACGUGCCAGCAGCCGCGGUAAAACGUAGGAGGCGAGCGUUAUCCGGAUUUACUGGGCGUAAAGCGUGCGUAGGCGGUUGGUCAAGUCAGAUGUUAAAGCCCCUGGCUCAACUGGGGGAGGUCAUUUGAUACUGAUCGGCUUGAGGGUGAGAGAGGAGAGUGGAAUUCCCGGUGUAGCGGUGGAAUGCGUAGAGAUCGGGAGGAACACCAGUGGCGAAAGCGGCUCUCUGGCUCACUUCUGACGCUGAGUGCAACGAAAGCGUGGGUAGCAAACGGGAUUAGAUACCCCGGUAGUCCACGCCCUAAACGAUGAGAGCUGGGUGUCGGCAGGGUUUCCUGUCGGUGCCGAAGCCAACGCGUUAAGCUCUCCGCCUGGGGACUACGAACGCAAGUUUAAAACUCAAAGGAAUAGACGGGGGCCCGCACAAGCAGCGGAGCGUGUGGUUCAAUUCGAUGCAACACGAAGAACCUUACCAGGGUUUGACAUGUAUGUGGUAGGAAACUGAAAGGGGCCCGACCCGCAAGGGAGCAUGCACAGGUGCUGCAUGGCUGUCGUCAGCUCGUGCCGUGAGGUGUUGGGUUAAGUCCCGCAACGAGCGCAACCCCUUUCGCUAGUUACAAGUGUCUAGCGAUACUGCCGGAUUAACUCCGGAGGAAGGCGGGGAUGACGUCAAGUCAGCAUGGCCUUUAUAUCCUGGGCUACACACACGCUACAAUGGGUGCUACAGAGCGUUGCCAAGCCGCGAGGCGGAGCUAAUCGCACAAAAGCAUCCUCAGUUCAGAUUGCAGG